AAUUAUAAUAUAUUGAUUAAAGUAACUAACGGAAUGUAAAACAUUGGAGCGUAAACUAGCGCAGCACCAGGAUGGUCGUUAAGCAUUGUGACGUCACCAAUGACGCUGUUGGGCACGAUGGUCAGGAGCGGACGGCCGCCGCCGCCUCAGUCUUGGGCUGACAGCCAGCAGAGGUAGUUCCUUGGGAGGUGUCCGGCCGCCGCCGCCGCCUCAGUCUUGGGCUGACAGCCAGCAGAGGUAGUUCCUUGGGCGGUGUCCGGCCGCCGCCGCCGCCUCAGUCUUGGGCUGACAGCCAGCAGAGGUAGUUCCUUGGGCGGUGUCCGGCCGCCGCCGCCGCCUCAGUCUUGGGCUGACAGCCAGCAGAGGUAGUUCCUUGGGCGGUGUCCGGCCGCCGCCGCCGCCGCCUCGGUCUUGGGCUGACAGCCAGCAGAGGUAGUUCCUUGGGCGGUGUCCUGCUUCUUGCUUCUAUUGCAGCUACACCGGUCAUCAGGCGGGUGUGGAUUUCUGUAGUGUAAUUCAAGGAACAAAUUUUAUCUGAAUUACUUCGGUUACGACCGGGUAUCUGGAUCCGGCUUGACAAUGGCAGUCUUCACGCUUAAGAAAUAACUUGAAGUGAACGGAGGACUAGUCAGAAGGGGAACGCAACUGGUUCUGACGUGACAUAGCUGCAAGUCUCGACAGAGGUGGUUGGACGGUGUGCAACACGGGGCGCCUGUCAACGUUGCUGGAAUAUCUG
Procambarus clarkii (red swamp crayfish) is the source of this 736-nucleotide long non-coding RNA. RefSeq lists it as uncharacterized. Lineage: Eukaryota; Metazoa; Arthropoda; Malacostraca; Decapoda; Cambaridae. The record is from RefSeq and is a predicted model, not a curated record.